RNAcentral lists this ribosomal RNA (502 nucleotides) under uncultured soil bacterium. Its description in RNAcentral is "bacterial SSU rRNA". It matches the Rfam family "Bacterial small subunit ribosomal RNA", at positions 26 to 517 of the family's 1533-position model. The record is from RNAcentral.
AGAAUGAACGCUGGCGGCGCGCCUAAUACAUGCAAGUCGAGCGAGAAGACGUAGCAAUACGUUUGUAAAGCGGCGAACGGGUGAGGAAUACAUGGGUAACCUACCCUCGAGUGGGGAAUAACUAGCCGAAAGGUUAGCUAAUACCGCGUACGCUCCUUGGACUUCGGUUCAGGGUAGGAAAGCGAUACCGUGGGUAUCGCGCUCUUGGUUGGGCUCAUGUCCUAUCAGCUUGUUGGUGAGGUAACGGCUCACCAAGGCUUCGACGGGUAGCUGGUCUGAGAGGACGAUCAGCCACACUGGCACUGCGACACGGGCCAGACUCCUACGGGAGGCAGCAGUAAGGAAUAUUGCGCAAGUGGGCGAAAGCCUGACGCAGCGACGCCGCGUGGGGAUGAAGGUCUUCGGAUUGUUAAACCCCGUUCGGGAAGGAAGAGUGGAACGAGACAAGUCGUCGGACGGUACCUCCGAGAAGCAGCCACGCUAACUUCGUGCCAGCACGCCG